Molecule: ribosomal RNA, 253 nt
Filed under: uncultured bacterium
Lineage: Bacteria
Description: partial 16S ribosomal RNA
Rfam family: Bacterial small subunit ribosomal RNA
Source: RNAcentral
GACGAACUGUGCAAACGUUAUUCGGAAUCACUGGCUUGAAGAGUGCGUAGGCGGUUUCGUAAGUAGGGUGUGAAAGCCCCCGGCUCAACCGGGAACGGGCGCCGAUACGACCGCCCUGGAGGGACGUAGGGGGGACCUGGAACUUCCGGUGGAGCGGUGAAUGCGUUGAGAUCGGAAGGAACGCCCGUGGCGAAAGCGAGGUCCUGGACCGUUUUCUGACGCUGAGACGCGAAAGCCAGGGGAGCGAACGGGG